UGAUUUUUCACAGGCUCGUCAGUGACUCUGUGUGGGUCAAAGAAGAUUAAGGGCCUCUGGAAAUUCAAAGGCUGAUUACAUCAAAUCCUAUCCCAGGAGCCAAGAAGGGAGUGUGCACCACAGCUCAAUAUUCUAUGCACAAGCCAGGAGCUUUUAGAUAAGCAUUUUGGGGGAGCUAACAGAAGGUGAGGGGUUUCCGUAAAGCCAUGACUUUAAAACAAAUCCUCCGAAGUACAGAGAGCUGAGCUCUGCUCACCACCUCCAAACCCAGCAGUUCCCUCCCUGAGGCUGUGGCCUGGCCCCAGUCUCAGCUCGGACACCCCAGCCACUGAUGGAAUCCAAUUCCUUCCGGCAGCCUCUGAGGGCCAGAAGAACUCAGAAAGGACAGCCUGGGAGGCUGAUCAUCUCCUGACUUGUCUUCAUUCCUGGUGCCUCCUCCAAGCUCUGCUAAAGAGAGAAUGACAGCUCAGCAGAGAGAGAGGAGCACUCUGCGAGGAUGGAAUCGAGAAGGCUGCCCCUGCAGCCCAACCCUGCUCAAGGCCUUCAGAAGGUCCCCUGGAGCUUGAAGUACCUGCAAAGAGCAGGAUCCUAGGAGCCAAAGGAGGUCUCAAGAGCGUGGACUGUUUUUCUCCGCUGCAGAGUCAUAGUCAUUGUGUUCCUAUUGUGUGUCAGACACACACUCAUUUAACCUCGCCACAGUCCAGCAAGCUCAGCAACGUCAUCCUGAAGCUAUCCCAGCACACUCGAACCAAAAAGAAGUUCCCCUCCCAUGCGCCACUACAUGGUAUAUUCAGGUGUGAUGCCUCUGGAAAUACCAGAAGACUUUUCCAGGAAUCUCCAAGCAUAGAGAAUGUUGAAGGAAUCAGCUCCCCACUCAUGGAUUUCUGAAUACCCUUUCCUCAACUUGUACCCAAGAACACUCCACGGUAUAGGCUGGCACGAUGACCUGGUGGCUGUCGUCUCCCACCUCCCCUUUCACAGCCAUCCCUUCCCCACCCUAUAAAAGAAAGACAUGCCCCUAACUCACCUCGAAUGUUGUGGCUUUGCCUCUGCAGCAUACAACAAGAAACUACAUGUGUCCAGAGGCCUCAUCGACUCAUGACACUAUAAAGCACCUAAUCCAGCUAAGACUUCACUUCCAAUGACAUUUAUGUUUUAUAUUUAGUUAACAGGUAUAAAAAUUUGCAAUAUGUAUAUUUUGCUCUGAUAAGUUGCAUAUUAAAAAUAAUUGUAAUAGCAAUCCAAUGCAGAAAACAAUGUUAACACUUAAUAGCCUUAAUAGAUAAGGGAAUUUAAAAAUUUAAAUUUCAAAUUAUAUGCAUAUUUUUGAUGCAGGAAUCCUCAAAGUAUGAUAGGGUGAAUAACAAAAAGAUUUUUAAGUGUAAAAAUAUGUUAAUUUAAAAUUCUGAAGGGGAAGAACAGUA
This 1424-nucleotide long non-coding RNA is filed under the name Homo sapiens (human). Its description in RNAcentral is "HSALNT0027811". Lineage: Eukaryota; Metazoa; Chordata; Mammalia; Primates; Hominidae. The record is from RNAcentral.